GACGAACGCUGGCGGCGUGCUUAACACAUGCAAGUCGAACGGAAAGGCCCUGCUUUUGUGGGGUGCUCGAGUGGCGAACGGGUGAGUAACACGUGAGUAACCUGCCCUUGACUUUGGGAUAACUUCAGGAAACUGGGGCUAAUACCGGAUAGGAGCUCCUGCUGCAUGGUGGGGGUUGGAAAGAUUCGGCGGUUGGGGAUGGACUCGCGGCUUAUCAGCUUGUUGGUGGGGUAGUGGCUUACCAAGGCUUUGACGGGUAGCCGGCCUGAGAGGGUGACCGGCCACAUUGGGACUGAGAUACGGCCCAGACUCCUACGGGAGGCAGCAGUGGGGAAUAUUGCACAAUGGGCGGAAGCCUGAUGCAGCAGCGCCGCGUGCGGGAUGACGGCCUUCGGGUUGUAAACCGCUUUCGCCUGUGACGAAGCGUGAGUGACGGUAAUGGGUAAAGAAGCACCGGCUAACUACGUG
Molecule: ribosomal RNA, 468 nt
Filed under: uncultured bacterium
Lineage: Bacteria
Description: partial 16S ribosomal RNA
Rfam family: Bacterial small subunit ribosomal RNA
Source: RNAcentral